AAAUUUUUUGUUUUAGAAUAAUUUUUUUAUUUGAUAUAUUGUUAUAUAAGAUGUUUUUGUAUCGUUUUUGUAAAUAGGAGGAUUGGGCAAUUAUAAAUUAGACCUAGUGUUUGAAUAAGAUUAGAUUAAUAAAAGUGCCAGUAAUCACGGUUAUACUUUAUAGUGAAGAAAAUUUGAUUGUGUUUAAUUUUAUGUUUUAUAUAAUGAAAUAGGUUAAAUUUGGGAGAAGAUAUAAAAAUUGAAAAACAAACCACGAGAAAUUGGAUUAGAUACCCAAGUACUUUGUUUUAUAUUUAGUAGUUAAUAAACAUAGAUAUAUUGAAUACUAAAAACUAGGCGGUUUAUUUUAAACAGGGGAGCUUGUUUUUUAGUCCGAUAAUCCACGUUUAAUUUAACUUAAUUUGUUUUAUUAUGUAUGUCUGUUUAUAUAGAUUUAUAAUAAGUUGGUAGUUUGGAUUUUAGGUCUCCAUGUAUAUUAUUAAGAGUGAAGUGAGCUACAAUAAUAAGAUGUUAUUUUGGAUUUUCAUUAAGAAGAGAAGAAGAAAUAGGACUUGUAAGUAAAAAGAUAUUAAAUAGGUUUUUUGAAGUUUUUUAAAAAUAAGAGUACUUACUGCCCGCCACCAAAGGUGUAAAUUCUUGUAAGGCGUAACAAGGUAACUUUUCUAGAAAGAGGAGUUGGUGUAGAAAAGG
RNAcentral lists this non-coding RNA (690 nucleotides) under Halocynthia papillosa. Lineage: Eukaryota; Metazoa; Chordata; Ascidiacea; Stolidobranchia; Pyuridae. The record is from RNAcentral.